UGCCAGUUGUUUUCAACUUCUCAGCAGCAUCCAGUCUUGCAGUGAGAUCCUUGCAGCGAGAUCCUGUGCGAAGUCUCAUUUUCUUCCAUGGGGUUCUGCACUGCCUUGUCUUAUUGAAGAAGCAGGUCCAAACUGGCAACACAGCAGAGAGAAGAAAUUCUCAAAGAUACAAAUUUGGCAGGAGAGGGAAAAGGAAUGGAACAGAGCUGAAGAAAGGAGAGAACACCCUGCAACAGGCUUGGCUGGGACUCAAACUUUUCUGACCUUUCCUUGCUGCACCAUCCACCAUCUUAAUGAGAAGACUAGAUGGUAACUUCCGGCCAGCAAUCUGAGCUUAGUUCUGGAUUGUUGCAAGUAUUUUCCUGUGUGCCCUGUUUAGAGAGGGACAGAAAGAAAAUCCCAUUCCAAGUCAAGCUUAAAUGGAUCACCCUUUAAAUGACGACACCAUAAUUCCCACUUCCAGACCAGGGAUUAUUAGCCUUGAACACAACUCGUGGAAAAGACAUAACAGUUAGGCUCAUGUUCUGGCUGAUGAGCUGCCUGGGACUGUCUGGCAUAUUCAUUUCUAACUCCAUCCUUUAGCUUUCUUUCUUUCAUUCUUCAGCCAAGAACCACAAGGGACUGAAUAUGUGAGGGCUUCUACCCAAUUAUGCCUCUCUUUAAUGGCAUUAGGAAACUUGAAAGCAGUUCAAUACCUAGCAGAGGUAGAUGGAAUAUUAGCAUCUGAGAAGAUUUAUGUUCAUGACCUUCUGGAUGUAAGGUGACAGAACAGCCCAUGCUAUGCUACAUCUGAUAUGCAUAUUCAUGGCUCGUUUAUUCAUGAAAGAAAUGACUGGAUUAGCAAUAGUUUGAAGGACGUUGAGCAUGGAGUUGAAAGAGACUCUCAAGUUGUUCACCAGACAAAUUAGAACUCCAUCUUUGUAAUAAAUUGGUACCACUGUAAACCUUGCAUAUCUUUGUUGUUAUUGGAAAUACUGUGUUGUAUUUUAUUGGAUUGGAAACAUUGCACAGCUAUCAAGCUGUCAAUUAUUUUAGCACAACACAAGGUUUCUGAUGUUGAUAGAUGGUGAUUCUAAAUAAUUUUUAUAAAGUGUUUCUACUUCCAGUGGUGUCAUGAAGCCUGCCUGCCUGCCUCUGAAAUAUUGUGAUUUUUUUGAAGCACUCACUUGAUAACACUCUUUAAUUGUAACAUUAAUCUGUGUCAAUCAAAUGCUUGCAGACUUGUUAUAUAGAUUUUUUUUUAUCCGAUGUUUUCAUGGGGUGGAGAAUAUUAAGAUCAUACAAAACGGUUGACACCCUCUGAAGAGAGAAGUGAUGCCAGACUUGCAACCAAUCACGAAAAUGCAUGUUAUGAAGUAUAACG
Chelonia mydas (Green sea turtle) is the source of this 1363-nucleotide long non-coding RNA. RefSeq lists it as uncharacterized. The record is from RefSeq and is a predicted model, not a curated record. The transcript has 3 exons. NCBI's taxonomy places the organism in Eukaryota, Metazoa, Chordata, Testudines, Cheloniidae.